Olea europaea var. sylvestris is the source of this 598-nucleotide RNA transcript. RefSeq lists it as uncharacterized. The transcript is spliced from 4 exons. The record is from RefSeq and is a predicted model, not a curated record. NCBI's taxonomy places the organism in Eukaryota, Viridiplantae, Streptophyta, Magnoliopsida, Lamiales, Oleaceae.
AAUCUUCGACUACUCUCAAACAGAGGGAUCGUUGGAGCUCCAACUUGCCAAAGCAUUUGCAAUAUUUGCAGAAAUUGAAAUAUGGGACUGGGAAGCAGAGGAGUAAUUGGUGAUAAAUGGUCCUCGAGGAUACUUUGGUUCACUGCUAUUGGAAGUGCAAUUGGGUUUGCUUGAAGCCAACCUGCAAGUACUAAAACUUGAUGGGAACCCAUUGAGAAGUAUCCGAAGGGCUAUAUUGGAAGGAGGAACAAAAGCUAUCCUGAAAUAUUUGAAGGACAAAAUCGUUAAGCAAUAAUGGUUUUGUGUCUCUCUUCACGAAGAUGCAUUAGCAGGCUUUGUGUGCAUUAUUUCUGGGUUGAUGAACUGAGAAAGAACAGAAAUGGUUUGCUUUGAUUUAUUUCAAUUUUCCAAUUGGUUGUGGCGGGCUUGAGUUGAUAUAAUACUUCCAGAUACUUAUAUUAUCAUUGAACAAUCUCUGUUAUUACAACUAGCUUUUAGAUUGCUAUUUGGAUGUUACUUCGUGUGGGCUGAAUCAAAAAGUUCGUGAAAACUUGUGUAAAUCAUCGCCAAUGUUAGUGCACGAACGUGCUUUUUUCCA